CCAGAACGCUGCACAGCCCUGCGGUGUCGUCGUGGAGGUGGGCUGGCUCGGCCAAGCCGGGCUGGAGGCAGGCGGGAAUGCAGACUAAAUCAGUCAUCAAAAUACUGGGAAAAAAAAUACCUUACUGGAUUUUGGAGUUUUGGCUGGAGAUAAACUGUGGGAGCAGUGAAGCUGCCUGUGAAGGUAGCUAUAAAUGGAGGUCAGUCACAGACAGAGAACACAAUACAAUAUGUACUGGGACUGAAAUAUUAUAUUGCCUCACUGAAGAAGUUGCAUAUACUUUACUGUGAAAGACUGUGUGAUCUGAAUAGCAGUACCUGACCAUUAAGAGGAUGUGUAUUUGAAUAAUAGAGGCCACAGGGACAAUAUGACUCAGCUCAUUCCUAAUUUUUGAUUUUCUUCCCUUGAAUUAUUAUUAUUAUUAUUUUAUAUAGAAAAUAAAAGGGGAAUUAUAGAAGCCUACCAAAAAAAAAAAAGGUACAUGGUUGGAAAGGAGCUAAUACACAAAAAUAUAAGGUGUAUUGUGUCUCUGUGUAGAUUUAAUGGGUCUCUUGAAAUAACCUUACAUUUGAUCUUUGCACGCCUGACCAAGUAACAGAGGAGAAUUUGGACAUGUUAUAGUUACUUUCUUUCUCUUUCAUUUCCUUUCACCUAUCAGAACCUGUGAUUUGAAGUGUAACUGCAAAUAAGUGUGAAUUAAAAAAUCCUAUCAAGCAGUUGUCUGUAAGUUCUAGUAUUUAGCCCAGCUGUUAGCAGGAGUGAUUUCUCCUGCAGAAAUGGAGGAAUAGUUUUGUGAGAAUUCAGUCAGCUUUACUCUUGAACUUUGCAUCUUUUUCCAGAGCAAAAGUACAGAGAACAUCUCAGUUUCCUUUUAGUUCAUUUCUAUCAGGUAAAUAGUGCUGAGCAUCACUAUUAGUUUUGGUAUGAAGUACAUGCAAGUUAAACUCAAGGACAGUCAGAAAAAAAUCCAGUUUCUCCUAAAAUUUAGGAAAAAAAUCCCCAAACUUCACACCAAGUAUCUUCCUUCAAUUUUAAAGAUACCUAUGCUGUUUUAUUAUAAAUUAAAAGACAAGUCCUUUUGCUUUGGUGCAGAUUUCCUUCCUACAGAUGAAUCUACAAAUAUAUUGGUCACAAUAUGCUUUCUACUGAAUAGAGAAAAUACUUCUUUUAGUAUGCGAUUCUCCUUUACUCUCUUGUAACUGUUUACUAUGAACUAAAGGGAACUAAAGAUUUUUGAACAAAUAAAACAAAAUCCAGUUACAUGUUAACAAAACAAAAAAAAAAGACAAGGAAAACAUUUAAACCCCACCAAAAUUAUGAACAGUACACACCCAUGCACACACAUAAUAGAUUGGUACCUGUAUCUGUUGUGAAUCAAAUUGAAGCUGGAAUAUACUAUAGACAUAAUAAAAGCUGUGAAAAACAACACCACUAACAAAUAGUCACAACUUAAUAGAAGCCUACUGAAAUGAUGUAACAUUUAGUUAACCCCAACAUUUUGUUUUAUGAUCUCAAAGAGAUAGUAAACAUCUUAAUGACAAUUGUAGCCUUUCAAGCAAGGCAGACACCCUGGUUCAAGGAACAGCACAGUGGCCCCCCUUGGCCACUCGGACCAUAACCCACAGACACCAGUGUGAUGGAUGGCGGAAAUGGCGUUUACUGUUGGAGAAUUGACAUUUUAUAACCUAGGGUCACUGUGUUACUCCCAUCUGCUUUCAUCACAGUUAGGUGCUAUUGACUAAUUGUAGAAGGCAUUACCAUACUAACGGAGAGGGGGGUUACUAUCUUUCCAUUACAUUCCGAUAUCUUCUGAGCCACCAGACCUUACUUCAACAGACAAUCACAAAUUAUUUUAGAUUGGAAAGACUUAGUAGUAUCCAUUGGAAACCUAAUUCUGCAGAAUGAUUAGAUAUGUGCAUUGGAGAGAUUUAGCUCAGAAAAAGACGGUUUUUUAAGACUGGAGAAAUCAAUCAAAAAAUAGUCAUAGGAAGGGGAAGAAGUUUUUUUGAUGAGAUAUAUCAGUAAUAUUGGAAAAUAGGUAUGUUGUGGAACUAGAUAUGAGUCUACAGAGGCUUAUCCAGAAACAAGAUUAAUAGUAGAUCUGGGACAAUUAAAAACCAGGUAGUCACUCUGUUUAGUAGAAAAGAGGAACCUAUUUCUCUAUUUGUCAAAUGUAUUUUCAAACAACAUUUAAGAAAAUUGCCUUCAUGGAGCCCGGCUCACUUUGUUAAGUGUGCUUUGUUGUCCUUAGUGGUGAUGUCCUCUUUUUUAAUUGGCGUACGUCCUGCACAGAUUUUGGUUUUAGCCAAAAACGUUUCCACUGGAUCUCAUAAUCUUUUAUCUGAUUACUAUGAAUUCUUCUCUGAUACUCCUAAUUGUAAACUUUUCUUCAAUGUACAAGAAAAGAUCUUUAAGUCAAUAAUGCCAUCCUUGCCUCCAAAGUCAGUCCCUUUUUAACCUGCUGAUCUUACUGCCUGUUCCACAUUAUAAAACCAAGAUCAGUAUUACUGACUGUGGUCACCAGUUCUACAGACAUUACUAAGCACAUGGAAAUUCUUUCCUGAUCUCUUGCCCAGCUGACUCAUUUCCACCUUAUUCAUGUAACUGAGGAGAGGUUAAUAGGUUAAGAAAUGAAGCUGGGAUUCAUUUGUCAGUUUGUAUUUAAAUUUUAGAGUAAAUUGUCUUCUAUUCUGUAACUUCUAUCAUAUGUCACUUAUCUUUUUUGUUUAUAAUAUAUUUGAAGCAAUAACUGCAACAUUUGGGUUUCUAACUUGUGCUUCCCUGUGCAUAAUAUAAAAAAACAAACAGAACAAAGCCCCCAAAACAGCAACAAAAAUUAAAAAGUGCGAAAGAAAAAUUGAAGGAAUGAAUUCUGCAGGACUGUGUAAGUAUAAAAAGAGAUGAAAAUGGGAUAUAUACACUUGGAGUAUUUAUUACUGCUGCGGUGAUGGAAAGGUUGGAGCGUGGUGACUUCUCUGGAGAAGCAGCCCUGAAAAGGGCUGGGCCGAAGCGCGUGUGUGCGACUUUGGGCAGGCGAGUGAUUCCAGCUCGGCUCAUCGGUGGCGGGCAGGCGACACGGGAAGCAGGGACAAGAAGGCUGAUCUAGCAUUCCGCCACGCACAAACCUUUAUUCAGACAGAGCUUUG
Long non-coding RNA from Parus major (Great Tit), 3146 nucleotides. RefSeq lists it as uncharacterized. The record is from RefSeq and is a predicted model, not a curated record. The transcript is spliced from 3 exons. NCBI's taxonomy places the organism in Eukaryota, Metazoa, Chordata, Aves, Passeriformes, Paridae.